GGGCCUGUAGCUCAAUUGGUCAGAGCCGGCGGCUCAUAACCGCUUGGUUGGGGUUCGAGUCCCUCCGGGCCCACCA
RNAcentral lists this transfer RNA (76 nucleotides) under Brucella pseudogrignonensis. Its description in RNAcentral is "Ochrobactrum pseudogrignonense tRNA-Ile". It matches the Rfam family "tRNA". Rfam says of the family: Transfer RNA (tRNA) molecules are approximately 80 nucleotides in length. Their secondary structure includes four short double-helical elements and three loops (D, anti-codon, and T loops). Further hydrogen bonds mediate the characteristic L-shaped molecular structure. tRNAs have two regions of fundamental functional importance: the anti-codon, which is responsible for specific mRNA codon recognition, and the 3' end, to which the tRNAs corresponding amino acid is attached (by aminoacyl-tRNA synthetases). tRNAs cope with the degeneracy of the genetic code in two manners: having more than one tRNA (with a specific anti-codon) for a particular amino acid; and 'wobble' base-pairing, i.e. permitting non-standard base-pairing at the 3rd anti-codon position. Lineage: Bacteria; Pseudomonadati; Pseudomonadota; Alphaproteobacteria; Hyphomicrobiales; Brucellaceae. The record is from RNAcentral.